UUUGUUAUAUACACCAAACAAAUAUCAAUUAAAUUUACUUAUUAUUAAUAAUGAUUUGUUAAAUUAUAAUUGAAUUUGGUAUAACUAUUAUACUUAGGUAUGAUCCAAUUCAAGGACAUUGCCAGGUGGGGAGUUUGACUGGGGCGGUACAUCUCUCAAAUAAUAACGGAGGUGUCCCAAGGCCAGCUCAGUGCGGACAGAAACCACACAUAGAGCAAAAGGGCAAAUGCUGACUUGAUCUCGGUGUUCAGUACAUACAGAGACAGCAAAAGCUCGGCCUAUCGAUCCUUUUGGUUUAAAGAGUUUUUAACAAGAGGUGUCAGAAAAGUUACCACAGGGAUAACUGGCUUGUGGCGGCCA
RNAcentral lists this ribosomal RNA (360 nucleotides) under Scaptia auriflua. RNAcentral's name for it is "eukaryotic LSU rRNA". It matches the Rfam family "Eukaryotic large subunit ribosomal RNA", at positions 2486 to 2846 of the family's 3401-position model. The record is from RNAcentral. Lineage: Eukaryota; Metazoa; Arthropoda; Insecta; Diptera; Tabanidae.